This 915-nucleotide ribosomal RNA is filed under the name uncultured bacterium. RNAcentral's name for it is "bacterial SSU rRNA". It matches the Rfam family "Bacterial small subunit ribosomal RNA", at positions 8 to 916 of the family's 1533-position model. The record is from RNAcentral.
AGAGUUUGAUCAUGGCUCAGGACGAACGCUGGCGGCGUGCUUAAUACAUGCAAGUCGAGCGAGGUUACUGUUUUGGAUCCCUUCGGGGUGAAGAAGCUUUAACCUAGCGGCGGACGGGUGAGUAACGCGUGGGUAACCUACCCCAAAGUCCGGGAUAACAGCGGGAAACCGCUGCUAAUACCGGAUGCCUUUACCUUGGGGCAUCUUGAGGUAAAGAAAGGUAACGCUUUGGGAUGGGCCCGCGUCCCAUUAGCUAGUUGGUGAGGUAACGGCUCACCAAGGCGACGAUGGGUAGCCGGCCUGAGAGGGUGGACGGCCACACUGGGACUGAGACACGGCCCAGACUCCUACGGGAGGCAGCAGUAGGGAAUAUUGCGCAAUGGACGGAAGUCUGACGCAGCGACGCCGCGUGAGCGAUGAAGGUCUUCGGAUCGUAAAGCUCUGUCCUUGGGGAAGAAGGCGAAAGCUUGACGGUACCCAAGAAGAAAGCCCCGGCUAACUACGUGCCAGCAGCCGCGGUAAUACGUAGGGGGCGAGCGUUGUCCGGAAUUACUGGGCGUAAAGGGUGCGUAGGCGGCCCUUUAAGUCGGAUGUGAAAGCCCGCGGCUUAACCGCGGAAUGGCAUUCGAAACUGGAGGGCUUGAGUGUCGGAGAGGGUAGUGGAAUUCCCAGUGUAGCGGUGAAAUGCGUAGAUAUUGGGAGGAACACCAGUGGCGAAGGCGACUACCUGGACGAUAACUGACGCUGANGCACGAAAGCUAGGGGAGCAAACAGGAUUAGAUACCCUGGUAGUCCUAGCCGUAAACGAUGGGUACUAGGUGUGGGUGGUUUCNAUACCAUCCGUGCCGUAGUUAACGCAUUAAGUACCCCGCCUGGGGAGUACGUGCGCAAGCAUGAAACUCAAUGAAUUGACGG